Molecule: ribosomal RNA, 591 nt
Filed under: uncultured bacterium
Lineage: Bacteria
Description: bacterial SSU rRNA
Rfam family: Bacterial small subunit ribosomal RNA (bases 1-513)
Source: RNAcentral
CCUACGGGAGGCAGCAGUGGGGAAGUCUUGCGCAAUGGGCGAAAGCCUGACGCAGCCAUGCCGCGUGAAUGAUGAAGGUCUUAGGAUUGUAAAAUUCUUUCACCGGGGACGAUAAUGACGGUACCCGGAGAAGAAGCCCCGGCUAACUUCGUGCCAGCAGCCGCGGUAAUACGAAGGGGGCUAGCGUUGCUCGGAAUUACUGGGCGUAAAGGGAGCGUAGGCGGAUAGUUUAGUCAGAGGUGAAAGCCCAGGGCUCAACCUUGGAAUUGCCUUUGAUACUGGCUAUCUUGAGUUUGGGAGAGGUGAGUGGAACUCCGAGUGUAGAGGUGAAAUUCGUAGAUAUUCGGAAGAACACCAGUGGCGAAGGCGACUCACUGGCCCAAUACUGACGCUGAGGCUCGAAAGCGUGGGGAGCAAACAGGAUUAGAUACCCUGGUAGUCCACGCCGUAAACGAUGAGUGCUAGUUGUCGGCANNNANNNAUGUGUGACGCAGNACGCAUAGACACUCCGCCGUCGGAGGUACGGUCGCGAGAAUAAACUAACAANAGAAUAGAGCGNGAGAGUAGCGACGACGACGACGAGGGAGGAGG